Adelges cooleyi (spruce gall adelgid) is the source of this 1484-nucleotide long non-coding RNA. RefSeq lists it as uncharacterized. The transcript is spliced from 3 exons. The record is from RefSeq and is a predicted model, not a curated record. Lineage: Eukaryota; Metazoa; Arthropoda; Insecta; Hemiptera; Adelgidae.
ACUAAAAUAUUUAUUAAGUGUUUUUUUUUUUGUUUAUUUAACUUUUACUUAACUUGAUUUGAAGAUUCCAUUUUCGGUGUUUACCGACAGAUUCUCAAAGUAGUUGGCGCGUGUAUAUGUAUAAAAUGUAAAUAACACGUGUAUUAAAAAAAUAUUAUUAUUACAAAACAACAGCUAUGAAAUUCUUUAACAAAAAUAUUGUUUUAUUAUUUAUUGCUAUUACUUUGUUGGAGAUUUAUAUUUGUACUAAUGACUUUACAUAAAAAAUUUAAAUCUUAGGUGACAUAUUUACUAAAUUUAGCUAUAUUAAAAAAAAAAAACAUAAAUCUUAUUAUUAGUUUUAAAUAAUCAUCGUACAAUAUUUGUAAGUAAUUUAAUAUAUCUAAGUAAUAAAUUAUGUAAAAUUGGUCUUUCCGGUUCCUUUUAUUGUAAAAAAAAAUACACCGCAUAAUCGAUACACGUAGUCGAAAUUUCAAUAUGAAUAUUUUUGUUUUUGACAUGUUUUAACAAUUGGCACUGUUGUAAUUUAGGCGACACAAUCUGUCUAGACGGCAAUUGUAGUGUUUGUAGGAAGUGAUAAAUUUCCAAACAGAAAUAAACAUCUCGGUUGUUUGAAAUAAAUUGGUACUGAAAAAUGAGUUGUUGUCAGAAGAUUGUUUUGAGUAUUUGUCACGGAGAAGAACGUGAUCUUAGCGCGUUUCCCGGCCAAACCACUGAGAUUAUAUACCAUUGAAAUUAUCGCUGACAUUUUAAUUGCCAAGUAAAACUGGGUUUGUAAUUCCAAAACAACUGUUUUCGCUGACAAAGGAGACAAACAGGCGGAACUUUCGAAAAAGAUUGCCGGAAAGCAGAAAUUUGUAUGGUUAUAACUAAACAAAUGACAGCAGCUAGAAAAAUGUGAAAAAGCAUAACAAAACCAAGCACACUAUAAGCCCACACAGCCUGGAACAGUACAUUUUUCAAACUAGUACAGUUUAAACCUGUACAGUCCAAACCAAGCACAUUAACACACUUGACAUCCCAAAUACCUUCGUUGCCACCUAUGGACCCGAUUGACGUAUACAUGAAACACUGGUGCCCGGAAGGAAGAACGUAUGCGGUAAGAAAGCCCGCACCUGGUAAAGGUGUUUUGACAUAUCUGUCUGUCACUCCACAACCACACAGAUGGGUUAACGGAAAAUGAAAACACCAAAGCUCUUUUCGAAAUUACAUUUAUAUCAAAACAAUAUAUAUAUAUAUAUAUUAUUUUAUUAUUUUAUUGAAAGCCGUUCAGUCGAAAAAUAUAUAGGAGCACAAUAAAUGUACAGUUUGAAUAACUAAGUGUAUAGUUGCUUUACUAACCAUUUAGUUGGCCAAAAUGUUUAUGUGGUUAUUUUAACUAUACAUUCAUUUUACCCAUGUAUCGACCAUAAUUUUAGUUGACCCGAUUGCAAGCUGAAUGUGUCAAUCCCUCAGGGUUAGCUAAUAAGAAACUACCAAUUCCU